UACGUAGGGUGCAAGCGUUGUCCGGAAUUAUUGGGCGUAAAGAGCUUGUAGGCGGUUUGUCGCGUCUGCUGUGAAAUUUCGGGGCUCAACCCCGAACUUGCAGUGGGUACGGGCAGACUAGAGUGUGGUAGGGGAGACUGGAAUUCCUGGUGUAGCGGUGAAAUGCGCAGAUAUCAGGAGGAACACCGAUGGCGAAGGCGGCGCUCUGGGCCGGUACUGACACUGAGGAGCGAAAGCGUGGGGAGCGAACAGG
RNAcentral lists this ribosomal RNA (253 nucleotides) under uncultured bacterium. RNAcentral's name for it is "partial 16S ribosomal RNA". It matches the Rfam family "Bacterial small subunit ribosomal RNA", at positions 524 to 776 of the family's 1533-position model. The record is from RNAcentral.